This 373-nucleotide long non-coding RNA is filed under the name Zostera marina. RNAcentral's name for it is "long non-coding RNA (ZMAR_LNC006025)". Lineage: Eukaryota; Viridiplantae; Streptophyta; Magnoliopsida; Alismatales; Zosteraceae. The record is from RNAcentral.
CGGGAAGGGUCACUCCGGCAGAAGUAUAAGGCUCAUAGCCCCUGGGUGGUGGAGGUGCAGAGCGCGAGCUCGACCCAUGCUCGAAAGUCCGUCGAGGCUCGCUACGGGAUUUUUCUUUCUUUUUGCGCAAGGAUAUCAGUUUGCCCGCGCGAAACCUCUUACGCAUGUAUAGAGGGGCAGCAUCAUGGUAUAUGACUGAACGUCUCUGACCACCUUCUAUCUCUCGUUCAGUAGGCGGCUCUUGCGCUUCCUCGACAUCUUCAAAAGUGAAGUCUUCCCUUUGGCAAAGGACAAAGGGAACACCGCGCGGUACAGAAUAAGCUGUCAGCGUGCGCGCUAUACGAUCCGAGGCUUCUAGAUCCCUCGUACUCAG